Molecule: unclassified non-coding RNA, 509 nt
Filed under: Hevea brasiliensis (rubber tree)
Lineage: Eukaryota; Viridiplantae; Streptophyta; Magnoliopsida; Malpighiales; Euphorbiaceae
Source: RNAcentral
GCGAUCUCCGUCUUCCUCUCUUACCUUCCUCGCCCAGCGUUCAAACCAAAAAAAAAAACAAAAGGAAAAGAGCAUGAAAUCGAUCUAAACCCUCUGAUCAAAACAAAAUAAUAAAUGAUCACCUGAAAAGCUCAACCAAUCCAAAUUCACUUUUGUUUUUGGGAAUUAGAGAAUGAAACUUCUCUUUUCUCUCCUCUUUUUCUCUCUCGCUUUCUCCUCUUUCCUCUCAUCAUCCGUCGCCAGAGGCGGAGAACGUGCUUCUCUAUGUUCAGGCACUAAUAAUGUCAGUAGUUAUGUGAAUUAUGCUAGGCGGUUUCUUGUUGAGGAUGACCAAUCUCAGGGAAGUGUUGAUAAGGCUCGUGGAUACUUGACUAACUCUGAUCUUGAAAAAGCUGUGAAGGAAUUUGGGGAAAGAUGCAGUAGCAUUUCUAGGAUUUAUAGGUGAUUACUAUAUAUUUUUGCUGUAAUAAUUGUUAGCAAUAGCCAGCUGGAGUUGUGCGUUAAAGGGC